GUGGGGAAUCUUCCGCAAUGGACGAAAGUCUGACGGAGCAACGCCGCGUGAGUGAAGAAGGUUUUCGGAUCGUAAAGCUCUUUCGUUAGGGACGAACGUGCUCUUUGUGAAUAAUGAGGAGUAAUGACGGUACCUAAAUAAGAAGCCACGGCUAACUACGUGCCAGCAGCCGCGGUAAUACGUAGGUGGCAAGCGUUGUCCGGAAUUAUUGGGCGUAAAGCGCGCGCAGGCGGGAUAUCAAGUCUGUCUUAAAAGUGCGAGGCUCAACCUCGUGUGGGGACAGAAACUGGUAUUCUUGAGUGUCGGAGAGGAAAGUGGAAUUCCAAGUGUAGCGGUGAAAUGCGUAGAGAUUUGGAAGAACACCAGUGGCGAAGGCGACUUUCUGGACGAUGUCUGACGCUGAGGCGCGAAAGCUAGGGGAGCGAACGGGAUUAGAAACCCGAGUAGUCC
Molecule: ribosomal RNA, 450 nt
Filed under: uncultured bacterium
Lineage: Bacteria
Description: partial 16S ribosomal RNA
Rfam family: Bacterial small subunit ribosomal RNA
Source: RNAcentral